Molecule: ribosomal RNA, 1040 nt
Filed under: Cookeina indica
Lineage: Eukaryota; Fungi; Ascomycota; Pezizomycetes; Pezizales; Sarcoscyphaceae
Description: SSU rRNA
Rfam family: Eukaryotic small subunit ribosomal RNA
Source: RNAcentral
UAUAAGCAUCUAUACAGUGAAACUGCGAAUGGCUCAUUAAAUCAGUUAUCGUUUAUUUGAUAGUACCUUACUACUUGGAUAACCGUGGUAAUUCUAGAGCUAAUACAUGCUAAAAAUCCCGACCUUCUGGAAGGGAUGUAUUUAUUAGAUAAAAAACCAAUGCCUUCGGGCUCCUUGGUGAUUCAUGAUAACUUAACGAAUCGCAUGGCCUUGCGCCGGCGAUGGUUCAUUCAAAUUUCUGCCCUAUCAACUUUCGAUGGUAGGAUAGUGGCCUACCAUGGUUUCAACGGGUAACGGGGAAUUAGGGUUCUAUUCCGGAGAGGGAGCCUGAGAAACGGCUACCACAUCCAAGGAAGGCAGCAGGCGCGCAAAUUACCCAAUCCCGACACGGGGAGGUAGUGACAAUAAAUACUGAUACAGGGCCCUUUCGGGUCUUGUAAUUGGAAUGAGUACGAUCUAAAAACUCUAACGAGGAACAAAUGGAGGGCAAGUCUGGUGCCAGCAGCCGCGGUAAUUCCAGCUCCAAUAGCGUAUAUUAAAGUUGUUGCAGUUAAAAAGCUCGUAGUUGAACCUUGGGCCGGGGCGGCGGGUCCGCCUCACCGCGUGCACUCGCCCGCCCUGGCCUUUCCUUCUGGCAAACCCCAUGCCCUUCACUGGGUGUGGCGGGGAACCAGGACUUUUACUUUGAAAAAAUUAGAGUGUUCAAAGCAGGCAUAUGCUCGAAUACAUUAGCAUGGAAUAAUAGAAUAGGACGUGUGGUUCUAUUUUGUUGGUUUCUAGGACCACCGUAAUGAUUAAUAGGGAUAGUCGGGGGCAUCCGUAUUCAGCUGUCAGAGGUGAAAUUCUUGGAUUUGCUGAAGACGAACUACUGCGAAAGCAUUUGCCAAGGAUGUUUUCAUUAAUCAGGAACGAAAGUUGAGGGAUCGAAGACGAUCAGAUACCGUCGUAGUCUCAACCAUAAACUAUGCCGACUAGGGAUCGGGCGAUGUUCUUAUUUUGACCCGCUCGGAACCUUACGAGAAAUCAAAGUCUUUGGGUUC